Molecule: long non-coding RNA, 597 nt
Organism: Hyla sarda
Lineage: Eukaryota; Metazoa; Chordata; Amphibia; Anura; Hylidae
Exons: 3
Source: RefSeq, a predicted model, not a curated record
CGGACGUGAGUUCUUACUCCUGUGUUAAUUACCUCUGCUGCUGCUGGUCCGCUCUUGGCACCGUCUGGAUCCUGGACGGCGAUCCUCCGUGUACCUGCCAAACCCCACUGAAGAUGGCAUAGAAGCAAGUUUAAAAGGGUUGACAACGCGUUUCGAGGGGGUCUGCACCCCUCUUCCUCAGGUCAGGACGCCGGGUACAGACAGACAUGGGCUGCUGCUGCUUCUUCUUCUGCCUUAAGGCUGACUACAGUGUUGUGCCUGGAGCACAACACACCCAGUGUGCACUUUGGACCAAUGACCUAGUGCGAGCUACCUCAGCCCCGCACAGCAGCCAGAUAAUGGUGUCACGGGCACAGCCCCAGCCAGAAACAGCCGUAGCAACACGGAGCGCCAAUUACGUGUGUCAGAGGCAGAGACUAUCCAGAGAGCGGAGACAGAGGAUCCAUUUAAUGAGUCCAGAAAUAAUAGUGACCUUUUCAACCCAAAGUCGUCCAAAAGAUUACCUCAUCCCGUAAUGUACUGGCAAAACACACUACAAUAAAGGAGUAUGUUUAAUGUACACAGCUGGUUCGGGAAUAACUUUUGUAUUAUGGGAGC